RNAcentral lists this ribosomal RNA (689 nucleotides) under Cokeromyces recurvatus. RNAcentral's name for it is "partial large subunit ribosomal RNA". It matches the Rfam family "Eukaryotic large subunit ribosomal RNA", at positions 62 to 641 of the family's 3401-position model. The record is from RNAcentral. Lineage: Eukaryota; Fungi; Mucoromycota; Mucoromycetes; Mucorales; Mucoraceae.
AAAAUAACAAUGAUUUCCUUAGUAACGGCGAGUGAAGAGGAAAAAGCUCAAAGUUGUAACCUAUUUGGCUUAGCCAAAUCGGAUUGUAGACUGGAGAAGUGUUUUAUGGCACGCCGAGUGAAAAAGUCCCUUGGAACAGGGCAUCAUAGAGGGUGAGAAUCCCGUGAAUUCACUUGAGUAUAUGUUGUCAACUUUAAUACACUUUCAAAGAGUCAGGUUGUUUGGGAAUGCAGCCUAAAUUGGGUGGUAAAUCUCACCUAAAGCUAAAUAUUGGCGAGAGACCGAUAGCGAACAAGUACCGUGAGGGAAAGAUGAAAAGAACUUUGAAAAGAGAGUUAAACAGUACGUGAAAUUGUUAAAAGGGAACCGUUUGGAGCCAGACCGGCUUUAUCGUAAUCAAUCUAGGUUUCGACCUGGAUGCACUUGCGGUAGAUUUGCCUGCCAACGACAGUUUUUUUUGAGGGAAAAAACUAGGAGGAAUGUGGCCCUUAACUUGUUAGGGGUGUUAUAGCCUUUUAGAAAAUACCUUGAAUUGGACUGAGGAACGCAGCGAAUGCUCUUUAGGGCGAAAUAGUUGAGUGCUUUGGCUGAUAGAUGCUAGAAUUUCUGCUUCGGGUGGUGCUAGUGUUUAAAGGUUAAACUCGCUUGAUUCAUUUUUUAUUCGCUUAGGUUGUUGGCUUAAUGACUCU